AGGAUGCGAGCGUUAUCCGGAUUUAUUGGGUGUAAAGGGAGCGCAGGCGGCGCGGCAAGUCUGAUGUGAAAGCCCGGGGCUCAACCCCGGGACUGCAUUGGAAACUGUCGCGCUCGAGUGUCGGAGGGGCAAGCGGAAUUCCUAGUGUAGCGGUGAAAUGCGUAGAUAUUAGGAGGAACACCGGUGGCGAAGGCGGCUUGCUGGACGACGACUGACGCUGAGGCUCGAAAGCGUGGGGAGCAA
This 243-nucleotide ribosomal RNA is filed under the name uncultured bacterium. RNAcentral describes it as "partial 16S ribosomal RNA". It matches the Rfam family "Bacterial small subunit ribosomal RNA", at positions 529 to 771 of the family's 1533-position model. The record is from RNAcentral.